UACGUAGGGUGCAAGCGUUGUCCGGAAUUAUUGGGCGUAAAGAGCUCGUAGGCGGUCUGUCGCGUCGGCUGUGAAAACUCGGGGCUCAACUCCGAGCUUGCAGUCGAUACGGGCAGGCUAGAGUUCGGCAGGGGAGACUGGAAUUCCUGGUGUAGCGGUGAAAUGCGCAGAUAUCAGGAGGAACACCGGUGGCGAAGGCGGGUCUCUGGGCCGAUAUUGACGCUGAGGGGCGAAAGCGUGGGGAGCAAA
This 249-nucleotide ribosomal RNA is filed under the name uncultured bacterium. RNAcentral's name for it is "partial 16S ribosomal RNA". It matches the Rfam family "Bacterial small subunit ribosomal RNA", at positions 524 to 772 of the family's 1533-position model. The record is from RNAcentral.